RNAcentral lists this ribosomal RNA (422 nucleotides) under uncultured eukaryotic phytoplankton. RNAcentral describes it as "bacterial SSU rRNA". It matches the Rfam family "Bacterial small subunit ribosomal RNA", at positions 358 to 795 of the family's 1533-position model. The record is from RNAcentral.
GGAAUUUUCCGCAAUGGGCGAAAGCCUGACGGAGCAAUACCGCGUGAGGGAUGACGGCCUGUGGGUUGUAAACCUCUUUUCUCAAGGAAGAAGUUCUGACGGUACUUGAGGAAUAAGCAUCGGCUAACUCUGUGCCAGCAGCCGCGGUAAUACAGAGGAUGCAAGCGUUAUCCGGAAUCACUGGGCAUAAAGCGUCUGUAGGUUGUUUAGUAUGUCUGCUGUUAAAUACUAGGGCUUAACCCUAGGCCAGCAGUGGAAACUGCUAGACUUGAGUGUGGUAGAGGUAGAGGGAAUUCCUAGUGUAGCGGUGAAAUGCGUAGAUAUUAGGAAGAACACCAAUGGCGAAGGCACUCUACUGGGCCAUUACUAACACUCAGAGACGAAAGCUAGGGUAGCAAAUGGGAUUAGAUACCCCAGUAGUC